GACGAACGCUGGCGGCGUGCUUAACACAUGCAAGUCGAACGGAAAGGCCCUGCUUUUGUGGGGUGCUCGAGUGGCGAACGGGUGAGUAACACGUGAGUAACCUGCCCUUGACUUUGGGAUAACUUCAGGAAACUGGGGCUAAUACCGGAUAGGAGCUCCUGCUGCAUGGUGGGGGUUGGAAAGUUUCGGCGGUUGUGGAUGGACUCGCGGCUUAUCAGCUUGUUGGUGGGGUAGUGGCUUACCAAGGCUUUGACGGGUAGCCGGCCUGAGAGGGUGACCGGCGACAUUGGGACUGCGAUAGGGACCAGACUCCUACGGGAGGCAGCAGUGGAGAAUAUUGCACAAUGGGCGGAAGCCUGAUGCAGCAGCGCCGCGUGCGGGAUGACGGCCUUCGGGUUGUAAACCGCUUUGGCCGGUGACGAAGCGUGAGUGACGGUAAUGGGUAAAGAAGCACCGGCUAACUACGUG
RNAcentral lists this ribosomal RNA (468 nucleotides) under uncultured bacterium. Its description in RNAcentral is "partial 16S ribosomal RNA". It matches the Rfam family "Bacterial small subunit ribosomal RNA", at positions 28 to 507 of the family's 1533-position model. The record is from RNAcentral.